Cinara cedri is the source of this 282-nucleotide non-coding RNA. The record is from the annotation of a GenBank genome assembly. Lineage: Eukaryota; Metazoa; Arthropoda; Insecta; Hemiptera; Aphididae.
CCAGAGCAACCGUUAUGUGAUAAUAUCGUCAUUUCGAACAGAAACGACGGGUUUAAACCGGAUAAAUCAAAAGUCAAAUUAGUUUUAUCGCUACUAAAACCUAGUGGAAAUUUCUGGUCAUUUCGAUGGUAUUCUACCCUUGUACAGCUAUAAUAUCUCAAAACAUAUUUCUGAGACGAGUGCACAAAAAAUGUCUACGUUUAUUUUGAAUUUUUUGAUUUUUUUUUUUUGGAAAUCCGGCUCGGGAUAGUUUGAUCUUAUGAAAAUAUCUAUACAAGUAUU